Trichosurus vulpecula (common brushtail) is the source of this 106-nucleotide small nuclear RNA. The record is from RefSeq and is a predicted model, not a curated record. Lineage: Eukaryota; Metazoa; Chordata; Mammalia; Diprotodontia; Phalangeridae.
GUGCUUUCUUUGGCAGCAUAUAUAUUAAAAUUGCAAUGAUACUGAGAAAGUUAGCAAGGCACCUGGGUAAGGUUACAGAAAAAUUCAUGAAGCAUUCCAUAUAUUU